RNAcentral lists this ribosomal RNA (494 nucleotides) under uncultured bacterium. RNAcentral's name for it is "partial 16S ribosomal RNA". It matches the Rfam family "Bacterial small subunit ribosomal RNA", at positions 31 to 507 of the family's 1533-position model. The record is from RNAcentral.
GAACGCUGGCGGCGUGCCUAAUACAUGCAAGUCGAGCGAACAGACGAGGAGCUUGCUCCUCUGACGUUAGCGGCGGACGGGUGAGUAACACGUGGAUAACCUACCUAUAAGACUGGGAUAACUUCGGGAAACCGGAGCUAAUACCGGAAAAUAUAUUGAACCGCAUGGUUCAAUAGUGAAAGACGGUUUUGCUGUCCCUUAUAGAUGGAUCCGCGCCGCAUUAGCUAGUUGGUAAGGUAACGGCUUACCAAGGCAACGAUGCGUAGCCGACCUGAGAGGGUGAUCGGCCACACUGGAACUGAGACACGGUCCAGACUCCUACGGGAGGCAGCAGUAGGGAAUCUUCCGCAAUGGGCGAAAGCCUGACGGAGCAACGCCGCGUGAGUGAUGAAGGUCUUCGGAUCGUAAAACUCUGUUAUUAGGGAAGAACAAAUGUGUAAGUAACUAUGCACGUCUUGACGGUACCUAAUCAGAAAGCCACGGCUAACUACGUG